GGGAUUGCCUCAGUAACGGCGAGUGAAGCGGCAACAGCUCAAAUUUGAAAUCUGGCCCAUCGGGGUCCGAGUUGUAAUUUGUAGAGAGUGCUUCGGGCGAGGCCUCGGUCUAAGUCCAUUGGAACAUGGUGUCAUAGAGGGUGAGAAUCCCGUAUGCGACCGUGGCUCGAGCCCAUGUGAAGCCUCUUCGACGAGUCGAGUUGUUUGGGAAUGCAGCUCAAAAUGGGUGGUAAAUUUCAUCUAAAGCUAAAUACUGGCUGGAGACCGAUAGCGCACAAGUAGAGUGAUCGAAAGAUGAAAAGCACUUUGGAAAGAGAGUCAAACAGUACGUGAAAUUGUUGAAAGGGAAGCGCUUGCAACCAGACCUGCCCGUAGGCGAUCAGCCGCUGUUCUCAGCGGUGCACUCGCUCUGCGAUCAGGCCAGCAUCGGUUUCGGCGGUCGGAUAAAGGCCUUGGGAAUGUAGCUUCUCUUCGGGGGAGUCUUAUAGCCCUCGGUGCAAUGCGGCCAGCCGGGACCGAGGACCGCGCUUCGGCUAGGAUGCUGGCGUAAUGGUUGUAAGCGACCCGUCUUGAAACACGGACCAAGGAGUCUAACAUCUAUGCGAGUGUUUGGGUGUCAAACCCAUGCGCGGAAUGAAAGUGAACGGAGGUGAGAACCCUUUAGGGCGCAUCAUCGACCGAUCCAGAUGUCUUCGGAUGGAUUUGAGUAUGAGCAUAGCUGUUGGGACCCGAAAGAUGGUGAACUAUGCCUGAAUAGGGUGAAGCCAGAGGAAACUCUGGUGGAGGCUCGCAGCGGUUCUGACGUGCAAAUCGAUCGUCAAAUUUGGGUAUAGGGGCGAAAGACUAAUCG
RNAcentral lists this ribosomal RNA (850 nucleotides) under Xanthoparmelia aff. subruginosa. RNAcentral describes it as "eukaryotic LSU rRNA". It matches the Rfam family "Eukaryotic large subunit ribosomal RNA", at positions 71 to 937 of the family's 3401-position model. Lineage: Eukaryota; Fungi; Ascomycota; Lecanoromycetes; Lecanorales; Parmeliaceae. The record is from RNAcentral.